CACCGGAUGAACUAUUUUGGUU
RNAcentral lists this microRNA (22 nucleotides) under Parasteatoda tepidariorum (common house spider). Its description in RNAcentral is "pte-miR-35q-3p". Its record names the gene pte-miR-35q-3p. The record is from miRBase by way of RNAcentral. Lineage: Eukaryota; Metazoa; Arthropoda; Arachnida; Araneae; Theridiidae.